RNAcentral lists this ribosomal RNA (460 nucleotides) under uncultured bacterium. RNAcentral describes it as "partial 16S ribosomal RNA". It matches the Rfam family "Bacterial small subunit ribosomal RNA", at positions 338 to 795 of the family's 1533-position model. The record is from RNAcentral.
CCUACGGGUGGCAGCAGUGAGGAAUAUUGGUCAAUGGGAGGAAUCCUGAACCAGCCAUGCCGCGUGCAGGACGACGGCUCUACGAGUUGUAAACUGCUUUUGUACCGGGGUAAAAUGCUCUACGAGUAGGGUUUUGAAAGUACGGUACGAAUAAGGUUCGGCUAACCCCGUGCCAGCAGCCGCGGUAAUACGGAGGAUCCGAGCGUUAUCCGGAUUCAUUGGGUUUAAAGGGUGCGUAGGUUGUUUUAUAAGUUAGCGGGGAAAUACCGAUGCUAAAGGUCGGAGCUGCCGCUGAUACUGUAGGACUAGAGUGCGGAUGCAGCAGGAGGAAUGUGUGGUGUAGCGGUGAAAUGCAUAGAUAUUACACAGAACACCGAUUGCGAAGGCAGCUUGCGAGGCCGGAUCUGACACUGAUGCACGAAAGCGUGGGGAUCGAACAGGAUUAGAUACCCUUGUAGUC